Cyprinus carpio (common carp) is the source of this 2092-nucleotide long non-coding RNA. RefSeq lists it as uncharacterized. The transcript is spliced from 4 exons. Lineage: Eukaryota; Metazoa; Chordata; Actinopteri; Cypriniformes; Cyprinidae. The record is from RefSeq and is a predicted model, not a curated record.
CCUGUAAAUGUGUAAGAGUUUUGUUACUGCUCUGUGCCCAUCAUCUGCUAUUUCCAGCACUUAAUCAAGCCACUCUUCUUUAAAACAUGAUGAUGUUUUAAUUCACAUGUCAUUGUGUUUGUGUUGGCUCUUGUGUUGAGCUACUUCGUCUGCAACCAUUAAUUAAUUCGAUCUCUACAGUGACUGAUUUGGCGCACAUCUUGUCUUUCCAUGAAACCUAUAAACCGCAUUCUGCCGGUUCUAACUCUAUACCAACACCUAUACUCUAUAGUGGUUUGCAAUUUUUUCGCAUUUACUAGAAUUCAGUCAAAUGGCUUUCCCAAUUCAUUUUUGCGCCUGUCACAUUAUUUCUUCUGUCGCGACUACGCAGCUUAGAGGGGACAUUGUUCAUAAUUCACUUUAGAUAAAAGAAUCUGCUAAUUGAAUGAAUAAAUGUUUGACACUGAUAAUAUAUGAUAUUUACAAGAUAAGCAGAGCACCAUGGACAGCAGCAACUCAAGCAAAAUGAACCAGACAUAUACUGAUUAUGAUUAUGUUUCUGACAAUGUCUACAAAGAUAUUUGUCAGGAUUGUUUUAAUGAGCUGAAUAAUUUUAUGAGAGUGAGUUCUCUGGUCUUCUACUACCUGACCUUGAUCCUCGGCGUUCCUGGAAAUGCAUUUGUCUUGUAUGUUGCUGGAUUGAAGAUGAAGAGGACUGUUAAUACAGUAGGGUUUCUCAAUCUAGCGAUUGCUGACCUCUUGUGAUGCCUUUCCACUCUUUACUAUGUUACCAAGAGCACUUUUAAUGAACACUGGCCGUAUGGAUCCAUAAUGUGCAAGAUUUUCCCCUUCAUUAUGUGCAUCACCAUGUUUGCCAGCGUUUUCACCUUCACCUUGACUGGUCUGGAUCAGUUUACUCAGGUGAUAACGCCGGUUUGGGCUCAGAAUCAUCAUAGUAAAAUCUCCAGUGUUGAAAUCCCAGUGUUAAGGACUUUCAGAGUAAAGAGUUAAAGUUGUGGUGUUGAAUUUCAAACAAUUAAUAGCUGGUGUAAACAGCACCCUCAUGCUUGUGUAAAAACGGAGAGUAACCCUUAUUAACACUGUUGAGUGUUAUUAGUCACAUCCAAGACAUGUUCUCAUGUGCGAGCCUAACCCAUCUGAAAUAUUUUUCAAAGACGCCAUUUACUUUGUUCGCGAUGUGAAGCAUAUAAGGAUGUAAAACAGCAAAAUAAAGUGUUUAGUCUUACUUACAAAAUGUUUUUUCAUAUCGUAACGUUUUAUAACGAUAUUUAUGUGCUGUUUGUGCCUAAACGUUUCUCAAAGACAUUGAUUUAAAGUGAUAUUUACGUGCUGACAGGGAAGUUGGUUUUAAAAAGGUGAACACUGAAAGUAAGUGUUUUGCCUCAUUUACGAUAUGUAUUUUAUAAGAUAGUAUUACUAUAUGACGAUAUUUAUUUGCUGCGCACACCUGAACAAGCCUAACAUUAACCGUUUCUCACAGAUUUGGAUUGCUAUGCAGUGCGCAGAUGCGGAGGUCACAGGGAAACACCAGAAAUGGUUCUUGCUGGCUUAACAGAAAAAUCAAAAGGAGAAGAUGUGCUUGAAGAGUAUGAAGCCACCAAUACACGAGAGUCGACCAACCUCAACACAGGGAGAUCAGUAUGCACUUGGAAUUGUGACUUUGUCUCUGUCGUUAGAAGACCCAUUUUCUAGGGCAGGUUUGUGAUGCUGCAAAUAGGAGUGGAUAUCUUGCUUGGCUGAAAACUGCAGAGAAACGCAUUGUUCUGAAAAAAGGAAUGACACUAUUCUCUCCAAAGAGGACCAAACACCAUCACAGAGUUUGAUUAGUGAUCAUUAACAUGCAUUCUGCAUUUAUGGUAAUGAAUGGAAUGCUGUUGUUUAACCUGAUAAAUGUCAGUAUUAUAAAUCUUGUAACAUUAAGAGUACAUAUGGACCAAAUAAGAAUGUUUUUUGUGUCUUUCCACUGAUUUGCUUUGACAUUAUGAUGUUUAAUUGUUGUAAGACCGUGUUCUUUACAUUGAAAUUUUGAAUUUUGAGUUUUGAAUUGAAACAUUGAAAGUGAAGACAUUUUGGUGCAGGGAAAAAAAAAUGA